Molecule: ribosomal RNA, 286 nt
Filed under: Bacillota bacterium
Lineage: Bacteria; Bacillati; Bacillota
Description: partial 23S ribosomal RNA
Rfam family: Bacterial large subunit ribosomal RNA
Source: RNAcentral
UAUCUGUUGCGGGCGUAAGAGAUUUGAAGGGAGCUGUCCUUAGUACGAGAGGACCGGGAUGGACGUACCUCUGGUGCACCAGUUGUUCUGCCAAGGGCACAGCUGGGUAGCUAUGUACGGACGAGAUAAACGCUGAAAGCAUCUAAGCGUGAAACUCCCCCUAAGAUGAGAUCUCUCAUCCUUUAAGGAGUAAGGACCCAGAAAGACGAUCUGGUUGAUAGGCCGAAGGUGGAAGCGCAGUAAUGCGUGUAGCUGAUCGGUACUAAUAGUCCGAGGGCUUGACCUA